Non-coding RNA from Nicotiana tabacum (common tobacco), 357 nucleotides. NCBI's taxonomy places the organism in Eukaryota, Viridiplantae, Streptophyta, Magnoliopsida, Solanales, Solanaceae. The record is from RefSeq and is a predicted model, not a curated record.
AAUGAAUCAACAACUCCGGUUAAAAUUGAAGAAGAUUUAGAUAAUCUUGAACAACUUGAAGCGGACUUGAUUAAUACCGGAAGAGAGCCUUGCAUCGUCGACAUAUAAAAGUAUUGCAGAACUUGAAAGUGUGUCAGGUUGAGGAUUUCAGUUCCAGUGUGCCAGAACUUAAGGUUGUUGCAUUAGGGAAUUCUGGUUGAAGCUGCUGCAUUAGGGAAUUCUGGGAUUUUAGUUAAUUUUGUAGAACUGGACUGUUAGCUAUGUUACAGUUAUAGUUAUCUAUAAGAACUUGUAACAAUUAUAGUUAUCUAUAGAUCUGGAUUGAAUGAGAAUGAUCAAUAGAACUUGUAACUGUUA